AGUGAACGCUGGCGGCAGGCCUAACACAUGCAAGUCGAGCGGCAGCGCGGGGGCAACCCUGGCGGCGAGCGGCGGACGGGCGAGGAAUUCGUCGGAAUCUGCCUUUUUGUGGGGGAUAACGUAGGGAAACAUACGCUAAUACCGCAUACGUCCUACGGGUGAAAGUGGGGGACCGCAAGGCCUCACGCAGAAAGAUGAGCCGACGACCGAUUAGCUAGUUGGUGGGGUAAAGGCCCACCAAGGCGACGAUCGGUAGCUGGUCUGAGAGGAUGAUCAGCCACACUGGGACUGAGACACGGCCCAGACUCCUACGGGAGGCAGCAGUGGGGAAUAUUGGACAAUGGGCGCAAGCCUGGUCCAGCCAUGCCGCGUGUGUGAAGAAGGCCUUCGGGUUGUAAAGCACUUUUGUCCGGAAAGAAAUCCCUGGAGCUAAUACCUUCGGGGGAUGACGGUACCGGAAGAAUAAGCACCGGCUAACUUCGUG
Molecule: ribosomal RNA, 484 nt
Filed under: uncultured bacterium
Lineage: Bacteria
Description: partial 16S ribosomal RNA
Rfam family: Bacterial small subunit ribosomal RNA
Source: RNAcentral